CAGUCGCCGCGGGAAUACGUAGGGUGCAAGCGUUAAUCGGAAUUACUGGGCGUAAGGCGUGCGCAGGCGGUUUGUUAAGACAGAUGUGAAAUCCCCGGGCUUAACCUGGGAACUGCAUUUGUGACUGGCAAGCUAGAGUGUGGCAGAGGGGGGUGGAAUUCCGCGUGUAGCAGUGAAAUGCGUAGAUAUGCGGAGGAACACCGAUGGCGAAGGCAGCCCCCUGGGCCAACACUGACGCUCAUGCACGAAAGCGUGGGGAGCAAACAGGAUUAGAUACCCCUGUAGUCCCUGUCUCUUAUAC
Molecule: ribosomal RNA, 301 nt
Filed under: uncultured bacterium
Lineage: Bacteria
Description: partial 16S ribosomal RNA
Rfam family: Bacterial small subunit ribosomal RNA
Source: RNAcentral